Molecule: ribosomal RNA, 460 nt
Filed under: uncultured bacterium
Lineage: Bacteria
Description: partial 16S ribosomal RNA
Rfam family: Bacterial small subunit ribosomal RNA
Source: RNAcentral
CCUACGGGUGGCAGCAGUGAGGAAUAUUGGUCAAUGGGCGAGAGCCUGAACCAGCCAAGUCGCGUGAAGGAUGACGGCCCUACGGGUUGUAAACUUCUUUUGUCAGGGAGCAAUUGCGUCCACGUGUGGGCUUUGCGAGUGUACCUAGAGAAAACGCAUGGGCUAACUCCGUCCCCGCAGCCGCGGUAAUACGGGGGAUGAGAGCGUUAUCCGGAUUUAUUGGGUUAAAAGGGUGCGUAGGCGGAAUAUCAAGUCAGCGGUAAACCUUGAGGGCUCAACCCCGUCGUGCCGUUGAAACUGGUGUUCUUGAGUGUGCGAGAGGUAUGCGGAAUGCGUGGUGUAGCGGUGAAAUGCAUAGAUAUCACGCAGAACUCCGAUUGCGAAGGCAGCAUACCGGCGCCCAACUGACGCUGAAGCACGAAAGCGUGGGUAUCGAACAGGAUUAGAUACCCCGGUAGUC